AGUUAUUGUGAAAUAUGUAAUAAAUUUUUGUUAACUAUAGUCUCCUUACUAUACUAUUGAAUAUUAGAAUUUAUUGCUUCUAUCAAAGUAUAUUUUUGUACCCAUUAACCAACUUCUCUUCAUCCUCCCUUCCUUCUACCCUUCCCAGCCUCUGGUAACCAACUAUUCAAUUCUUACCUUCAUGAGAUCCGCUUUUUUAGCUCUCCUAUAUGAGUGAGAACAUAUGAACUUUCCUGUGCCUAGCUUAUUUCACUUAACAUAAUGACCUUCAGGACCAUCCAUGUUGCUGCAAAUGACAGGAUUUUAUUCUUCUCUAUGGCUGAAUAUUCCGUCACAUAUAUGUACCACAUUUUCUUUAUCCAUUCAUCCGUUGAUGGAUGCAGGUUGAUUUCAUUUCUUGGCCACUGAGACUAGAGCUGAGCUAGGAUAAAUGUGGGAGUAGAGCUCUCUCUCCAAUAUACUGAUCUCUCUUUUGGAUAUAUGCCUAGCUUACCAAAAAAAGAGCUUAUCUCAUUAAUCAUUUUAUAUUGAUUACAUGUUGAACCAAUACAUCAGGUUAAAUAAUGUAUGCUAUAUAAUUAAUUUCCCCAUUUUAUUUUGCUUUAACUUU
Long non-coding RNA from Sapajus apella (tufted capuchin), 610 nucleotides. RefSeq lists it as uncharacterized. The record is from RefSeq and is a predicted model, not a curated record. Lineage: Eukaryota; Metazoa; Chordata; Mammalia; Primates; Cebidae. The transcript is spliced from 2 exons.